GCAGCGCCGCGGUAACACCGAGGGUGCGAGCGUUAAUCGGAUUUACUGGGCGUAAAGCGUGCGUAGGCGGCUUCUUAAGUCGGAUGUGAAAUCCCUGAGCUUAACUUAGGAAUUGCAUUCGAUACUGGGAAGCUAGAGUAUGGGAGAGGAUGGUAGAAUUCCAGGUGUAGCGGUGAAAUGCGUAGAGAUCUGGAGGAAUACCGAUGGCGAAGGCAGCCAUCUGGCCUAAUACUGACGCUGAGGUACGAAAGCAUGGGGAGCAAACAGGAUUAGAUACCCCUGUAGUCCCUGUCUCUUAUACA
This 302-nucleotide ribosomal RNA is filed under the name uncultured bacterium. RNAcentral describes it as "partial 16S ribosomal RNA". It matches the Rfam family "Bacterial small subunit ribosomal RNA", at positions 508 to 808 of the family's 1533-position model. The record is from RNAcentral.